UGUGGGAAGAGAAGACGUUUUGCUGUUCAUAGUGAUAAGUGUUGAUACCUGACAUACAGUUCUGGCCAGUACCUUAACAUACAGGCUAGUUCACCAACAUACAGGCCAGUAGUAUGGGAGUAGAGGAAACACAAACGAGGUGACGAGGCGUGACAACCCACAAGGAACAAGUGAGUGUGGAAAAAUGCGAGGUAGUGUUGAUCGAUGCUGACUGCUAAUUGUCAUGUGUAAUCCUUGGUGAUGCAGAAAAAUAACAGUUGUGAUUCCUGUUGUUUCUUUUGUUAGAGCGAGUGUUUAUAAGGAGUAACGAUGCGGCAAUGGUUACGAGUCACGCCGCACACCUGUAAUACAUGGCGGGGAGGCAGGUGAGAUCAUUAGAGCAGCCACAGGUGAAGGGCUCAGUUGACCCAGCCUGGGAGAAAGAGAAGGAAAUGAUGAUGAGGGAGAGAAAUUCAAGCCACCAAACAGGAAAAAUA
Long non-coding RNA from Scylla paramamosain (green mud crab), 476 nucleotides. RefSeq lists it as uncharacterized. The transcript is spliced from 3 exons. The record is from RefSeq and is a predicted model, not a curated record. NCBI's taxonomy places the organism in Eukaryota, Metazoa, Arthropoda, Malacostraca, Decapoda, Portunidae.